This 253-nucleotide ribosomal RNA is filed under the name uncultured bacterium. RNAcentral describes it as "partial 16S ribosomal RNA". It matches the Rfam family "Bacterial small subunit ribosomal RNA", at positions 524 to 776 of the family's 1533-position model. The record is from RNAcentral.
UACGUAGGGUGCGAGCGUUGUCCGGAAUUAUUGGGCGUAAAGAGCUCGUAGGCGGCCUGUCGCGUCGGUUGUGAAAGCCCGGGGCUUAACCCCGGGUCUGCAGUCGAUACGGGCAGGCUAGAGUUCGGUAGGGGAGAUCGGAAUUCCUGGUGUAGCGGUGAAAUGCGCAGAUAUCAGGAGGAACACCGGUGGCGAAGGCGGAUCUCUGGGCCGAUACUGACGCUGAGGUGCGAAAGCGUGGGGAGCGAACGGG